This 253-nucleotide ribosomal RNA is filed under the name uncultured bacterium. RNAcentral's name for it is "partial 16S ribosomal RNA". It matches the Rfam family "Bacterial small subunit ribosomal RNA", at positions 524 to 776 of the family's 1533-position model. The record is from RNAcentral.
UACGUAGGUGGCAAGCGUUGUCCGGAUUUACUGGGCGUAAAGAGCGCGCAGGCGGUCGUUCAAGUCGCGUGUGAAAGCCCCCGGCUCAACUGGGGAGGGUCACGCGAUACUGAUCGACUGGAAGGCAGGAGAGGGUAGUGGAAUUCCCGGUGUAGUGGUGAAAUGCGUAGAUAUCGGGAGGAACACCAGUGGCGAAGGCGACUACCUGGCCUGUUCUUGACGCUGAGGCGCGAAAGCCAGGGGAGCAAACGGG